This 141-nucleotide unclassified non-coding RNA is filed under the name Arbusculina fragmentans. RNAcentral's name for it is "partial internal transcribed spacer 2". RNAcentral also lists the same sequence under 1 other name. The record is from RNAcentral. Lineage: Eukaryota; Fungi; Ascomycota; Leotiomycetes; Helotiales; Hyaloscyphaceae.
AAACACAUCCCUUACGGGGUCUUGGGACCCGCCUCCGGGCGGUCCUUAAAAUCAGUGGCGGUGCCGUCUGGCUCUAAGCGUAGUAAUUAUCCUCGCUAUAGAUGUCAGGUGGUUGCUUGCCAACAACCCCUAAUUUUCAAC